CUUUUUUCCUGUCUCUUUUCGCGACCUACGGCGUCGGUCUUUGGUGGUCGAGUGGGCGCACGGUCCGUCCGCUGUGUCGAUCUCUGUGCCUCUUUCUCUCUCUCUCUCUCUCUCUUUUUUCGACACUCUUUUUUUUGUCGUCGAGCAAGAGACAGCACGCCGGCGCCUUUUUUGCCCCUAGGGAACCCCGAUUUUUUCGACGCACGGGGCGCACACGUGGUUCACGGCCAGGCGCAGUGGGCCUCGUCGCUGCUCGGCCCAUCGCGCGCGCGCGGACCUACUGGCGACCCAGAGGGCGACUGCACACGCUCCGGCGCCCGAGACCAACCGCGAGAAAAAAAACAAAAAGAACACGCGGCUGCCUUUUUUGUGCGGUGGGCGACAAUGCGCAACGAAAAAAAAAGGGGACGGAUGGCGUGCAGAGACGACACGCCAAGAAAAAGAGAUUGCCCGACAAAAAUGAGGAAAAAAGAGAAAGAGAAAAACGGCCAACCUCAUGCGAUUUUUAGGGAAAAAAAAGAGAAAAAAUCGACCAAUGGCGUGCUCGAUUGGC
This 553-nucleotide long non-coding RNA is filed under the name Pandoravirus salinus. Its description in RNAcentral is "putative ncRNA". The record is from RNAcentral.